Molecule: ribosomal RNA, 550 nt
Filed under: uncultured bacterium
Lineage: Bacteria
Description: bacterial SSU rRNA
Rfam family: Bacterial small subunit ribosomal RNA
Source: RNAcentral
UGGGGAAUCUUCCGCAAUGGACGAAAGUCUGACGGAGCAACGCCGCGUGAGUGAUGACGGCCUUCGGGUUGUAAAGCUCUGUUAAUCGGGACGAAAGGCCUUCUUGCGAAUAGUUAGAAGGAUUGACGGUACCGGAAUAGAAAGCCACGGCUAACUACGUGCCAGCAGCCGCGGUAAUACGUAGGUGGCAAGCGUUGUCCGGAAUUAUUGGGCGUAAAGCGCGCGCAGGCGGAUCAGUCAGUCUGUCUUAAAAGUUCGGGGCUUAACCCCGUGAUGGGAUGGAAACUGCUGAUCUAGAGUAUCGGAGAGGAAAGUGGAAUUCCUAGUGUAGCGGUGAAAUGCGUAGAUAUUAGGAAGAACACCAGUGGCGAAGGCGACCUUCUGGACGAAAACUGACGCUGAGGCGCGAAAGCCAGGGGAGCGAACGGGAUUAGAUACCCCGGUAGUCCUGGCCGUAAACGAUGGGUACUAGGUGUAGGAGGUAUCGACCCCUUCUGUGCCGGAGUUAACGCAAUAAGUACCCCGCCUGGGGAGUACGACCGCAAGGUUG